GAUGAAGAACGUAGCGAAAUGCGAUAAGUAAUGUGAAUUGCAGAAUUCAGUGAAUCAUCGAAUCUUUGAACGCACCUUGCGCUCCUUGGUAUUCCGAGGAGCAUGCCUGUUUGAGUGUCAUUAAUAUAUCAACCUUCUCUUUUUUGAGUUGUUUGGAUGUGGGGGUUUGUUGGCCUCUUAAAUGAUUCAGCUCCCCUGAAAUGCAUUAGCAGAACAACCUGUUCAUUGGCGUGAUAAUUAUCUAUGCUAUUGAAUGUGAGGGCAGUUCAGCUUUCUAACCGUCCUUGGACAAUUCAUCAUUAAUGUGACCUCAAAUCAGGUAGGACUACCCGCUGAACUUAAGCAUAUCAAUAAGCGGAGGA
RNAcentral lists this unclassified non-coding RNA (362 nucleotides) under soil metagenome. RNAcentral's name for it is "partial contains 5.8S ribosomal RNA, internal transcribed spacer 2, and large subunit ribosomal RNA". The stretch from base 1 to 120 matches the Rfam family "5.8S ribosomal RNA", at positions 35 to 154 of the family's 154-position model. The record is from RNAcentral.